GCCUAAGGCAGGGCUAGUGACUGGGGUGAAGUCGUAACAAGGUAGCCGUACCGGAAGGUGUGGCUGGAUCACCUCCUUAAAGGGAGACCUAAUUCAGGUAUGGGACGAAAAAAAAGUAGUCGCUACCAAGAAUCAAUCCCAAAAGGUCGGAACGAGGUAUGUGGCUUUCAAACUAGGUUCUGGGUUCACACAAGACCUGAAUCAGGAACAAGGGCUAUUAGCUCAGGUGGUUAGAGCGCACCCCUGAUAAGGGUGAGGUCCCUGGUUCGAGUCCAGGAUGGCCCACCUGCACAGGUGGCAAAAACAAAGAAGCGAGGAAUCAGCACCUGAUCUUGCUUAUAUAGUAAGAGAGAAUGCUG
This 359-nucleotide unclassified non-coding RNA is filed under the name Microcystis aeruginosa LEGE 91344. RNAcentral's name for it is "partial contains 16S ribosomal RNA, 16S-23S ribosomal RNA intergenic spacer, and 23S ribosomal RNA". The stretch from base 1 to 79 matches the Rfam family "Bacterial small subunit ribosomal RNA", at positions 1455 to 1533 of the family's 1533-position model. Lineage: Bacteria; Bacillati; Cyanobacteriota; Cyanophyceae; Chroococcales; Microcystaceae. The record is from RNAcentral.